RNAcentral lists this long non-coding RNA (1164 nucleotides) under Oryzias javanicus (javanese ricefish). RNAcentral's name for it is "lncRNA (ENSOJAG00000020036.1)". The record is from RNAcentral. Lineage: Eukaryota; Metazoa; Chordata; Actinopteri; Beloniformes; Adrianichthyidae.
AUGAUGUCAGAGGAGAACCCGCUGUUUCCUGCUGAUCUGGAGGCGCAGUUGAGUCUUUCACCUUCGAGCGUUAACGUGGAGCAGUCUGUUCCAGGUGGAGGCAGGUGUAAAACUGAGGAGAAAGGGGCGGAGACUGUCUCUGAGCAUCAGCCUCAGCCACCAUCCCAACCCUCCCAGACAUCUUCAUGGGGGGUGUUCUGUGAGUCUGCCAGAUCUCAGGUGGAAGGUCACUCCCAGCUGGACUCCACUGGUGCUGCAGAGUACUCCCCAGCUGUGGAGUUUGAGAGGAAGAGUCUUGUCGUGGUCAGUCAAAACUCUCGGCCUGCUUCCUACCCCCUCCUGCCUGUUGACCCAGACCAGAUUGACAUCCAUGCAUCGACUCCAUCCUAUGAGAUCCAUCUGGACCAGGAACCUGCAGAUGAAGAUGAGGAGGAAAAGGAGGAAGCAGAGAUGAGGGAAACCAUGUUUGAGCUGCUGGGAGAGAGGUGGGACUCUGCCAUGGGCCUGCUGCCCCCCAUCCCGGGGCUGGGUCAGGAGGACAGCUACGAGUGGUGUUUUCUAGGGUCAUCCGAGUCCAGCCGGGGUGAGAGCAGCUCUGAGUUGACCCCCCUGUCCAUCUCAGAGCAGCAUACGGAGGUGUACCCGUACUACAGCGUGCUGGACUGGGACGCCAGCUGCACUCUGAGAGUAAGUCCUCCUGCAGCCAAGCCUCUCCUGUUCUUUAUGCUGACUCAGCAUUGACGGGUAACUGCAGCUUAGACCGGAGUGUUUUUAUCACAACAAAGACAUUUUAGUUUAGAGCGGCUCUCACUUUGUUCCAGAAAUGUUCCUGUGGUUCUGUCCAAAUCUGUCUGAAGCUGCUUCAGUCAGCUGACCAGGAACAAAUUUACACUGAAACACUACACGUGUCAGUCUGAUCAUGUGUUAUUUAGACCAGUUUGAUCGUCUCUUUCUAAGGGCCGGGGUGACCUUAGACCAGGAGUCUGCAACCAUUGGCUCCAGAUCCACAUGAGGCUCUUUCAUCUCUCCAUAGCGGCUCCUUGAUCAAACAAAAUAAAUCAUGGAGACUGUUGAUCCAGUCAUGUCGACCGUCUGAUUCAGCAGAUCUCUGAUAAUGGUUGUCCAACCAAAACUACCUCAAGAAAACAAAUAAACAAAGCCUGC